This 1328-nucleotide long non-coding RNA is filed under the name Homo sapiens (human). RNAcentral describes it as "long non-coding RNA NONHSAT211157". The record is from RNAcentral. Lineage: Eukaryota; Metazoa; Chordata; Mammalia; Primates; Hominidae.
UUUAUGCCUAUGAAAUUAUAGUCAAAACCAAAAUCUUGUAAGGAAGUUAAAGAUGAUACAUGUGUAUGUGUGUGUACAUACACACUAUCAUCUAUCUGUCUAUGUAUCUACUUAUGUCUGUAGUUUUUUUGGGUUGAUGACUACUUGUUUUUAGAACACUAGAAACAAAAUGACUAUUCACAUUGAACAUUUCAUGCUGUAGAAAAAUGGAGAUUUCUUCAUGAAUAUACACAGGAAAUUUAUUACACUUAAUCUUUGGAUCUUUUCUCAAAUUUAACACACAGUAAACACAAUCAAAAGACUAAGUGUCUUUUUGAUCCUCACAAUAUGACACAAUUUUAUAUUUUCACAAGGAUUAUAAUACUCAAUUUAUGGAGAUAUAUUCAUUCUUUCAGGUCACAUUAACUAAAUGAUUUUUUCUUAUCUCCUGAAAGGGUGUAGCCAAAAUAUACGUUCACCAGUAGCACUCAUGGCUUUCCUUGUAUCUAUGUAAGAUGAUGGAAUGAACACAUUUAACUAAUUUGUCCAUACACAACAAUUUUACACUUAAAUAAUCAGUGUUGGGGUCUUCCUCUUUGUGUAUUAGCUUUGGAAGGGGUGAUACUGAGUCAAAAUUUAAUUCACUAGGGGCUUAAUGGAAGUGGCAAAAUCAAACUUUGUAGCCUUUGUCUAGAAAACUGGUUUAUUUCUACAAUGAAAACUUGACAUGGGUUACUUUUUCAAGGUUAAGUCCUUUGAAAAUUCAAAGCUUCUUUGAUUUUGAACAAGUGACUAAGCUUUUAAAAUUUUAUCAUAUUUUCACUAAUAAUUCACAUAAUACAAGAAAUCUUGAAGUUUAUUUAUUGAUUUAUUAUUCAUUUAUGGUGGCUGAUUUAUUUUGAUUCUCAAAUUUUAUAGAUGAAGAAAUUGAGACUCAGAAACUUGCAAUGCAUUUUUGGUCCUGCAGGCAGUCAGUGGCAGGCCAGGGACAGUCCUUCACACAGGUCUUUGGCUUUCUGAACUGAAGUCCAUCACUACCCCACCACCUCCCUUCCUAUGAUUACUCAACAUUUGUCAUUAAAAUCAUGCAACAUGAGAGAAGAAAAUAUCCUAAAACAUGAAAAUCAUGAUGAGAAAUUCAAAGUUGUUUUGGAAGAGCUUUUAUUUUUCAUAAAAAGCCUUUAUCAACAGUUUAUAUAGGCCGGAUGCAGUUGCUCAUGCCUGUAAUCCCAGCACUUUGGGAGGAUGAGGUGGGUGGAUCACUGAAGGUCAGGAGUUUGAGACUAGCCUGGCUAACAUGGUGAAACCCUGUCUCUACUAAAAACACAAAAAGUAGCCAGAUGCGGUAG